RNAcentral lists this ribosomal RNA (495 nucleotides) under uncultured bacterium. RNAcentral's name for it is "partial 16S ribosomal RNA". It matches the Rfam family "Bacterial small subunit ribosomal RNA", at positions 28 to 507 of the family's 1533-position model. The record is from RNAcentral.
GACGAACGCUGGCGGCGUGCCUAAUACAUGCAAGUAGAACGCUGAAGGAGGAGCUUGCUUCUCUGGAUGAGUUGCGAACGGGUGAGUAACGCGUAGGUAACCUGCCUGGUAGCGGGGGAUAACUAUUGGAAACGAUAGCUAAUACCGCAUAAUAGUAGAUGUUGCAUGACAUUUGCUUAAAAGGUGCAAUUGCAUCACUACCAGAUGGACCUGCGUUGUAUUAGCUAGUUGGUGGGGUAACGGCUCACCAAGGCGACGAUACAUAGCCGACCUGAGAGGGUGAUCGGCCACACUGGGACUGAGACACGGCCCAGACUCCUACGGGAGGCAGCAGUAGGGAAUCUUCGGCAAUAGACGGAAGUCUGACCGAGCAACGCCGCGUGAGUGAAGAAGGUUUUCGGAUCGUAAAGCUCUGUUGUAAGAGAAGAACGAGUGUGAGAGUGGAAAGUUCACACUGUGACGGUAUCUUACCAGAAAGGGACGGCUAACUACGCG